Molecule: long non-coding RNA, 1174 nt
Organism: Xenia sp. Carnegie-2017
Lineage: Eukaryota; Metazoa; Cnidaria; Anthozoa; Malacalcyonacea; Xeniidae
Exons: 5
Source: RefSeq, a predicted model, not a curated record
UAUUCAACUAUUCCGAAUUACUGUUCAUUCAUCCCAAAGAUUUAUGUUUUAAAAUGUGGAAAGAUAAGAAAAUUAUCGGAGAUUGACAAUGUGUAAUUAUAACUGGCAUUAUGUCGAAAUUAGAGAGUCAACAAAACACAAUGUACGUGUUUGUAUGAGUUCAUGCAACACAAUUGAUCGCUGAAUCUGAAAACUUUUUUCUGCACUCGUCCAAAGCAAGUAUUUUCUUUAAAAAGUCAACUAAUGUCAGGAAAAAGAGUUUGGUCUUUGGAUACAUUGAAGAGCUCUUUUUGGACUUAUGUCUGUAUCCGGAGAACGGUAACCAAUGCUCAGCACAGCAGCUUCUUGGCCAUCCUUUUGUCUCUCCAAAUCCCAUGUCGCACGGCUUAAGCAAUAACAUCACUUCAGAUAAGCUUGACGCUGAAAAAGAUCACGGUAGAAAUGAAAAUGGCUGUGAUGAUGAAGACGAGUCUCCUGAUUUGAUGCCUAUUCCUUUCGUUAACGCUGCGAGAAAUUCAAGAGUUCGAAAUGUAUUUGAGGUGUUGCAAAUGCUUGGAGAAUGGAUGGUUUGCUUCAGUUGUGAAGGUAUGUAAUGAAAUGGACGGCUGUCUCUAUGUGAUCAAAAGAAUUCCUUUGAAUCCGAAAAGUGUUCUGUUCGAGAGGAGAAGUUCCUUUCUAGAAUGAAUCAUGAAAAUAUUGUAAGACAGCACUUUCGGAUUCCAAGAUUUACUAUGCAAUAUUUUUCCCGCCGGCGUUUCUUGAUGGUCAUGAAAUGCUUGCCAAACUGCGUGAGCUGUAGGAUUUUUGGAAUCGAACUUCCAUUUGUAAACAUUGCCUGCAGAAUCUACACCUAGCAAUUCGGUAAGGUCUUCCUGAGCCCACUGUGGUAACCUGCCAAAACAAUAAUCAUCACGAGGACUGCACGUUCCAUAUGCAUGCCCAAGCACGUCGUUUUCGUUUGAAGGCCACUUGGCGUUUGCAGACCACCACCAGAAAGCCAACCAAUCACCGCCAUACAUACAAAGGCUCAUGGGACGUGUGGCAGCAAAAUACAAAACAAGGCCUACAGUUGGACGUGGAGAAUUACAAUGUUCAUCGUAGAGCUCAUCUACACCAAAUCUAUAAAAUGUAGAAAUGACAUUUUUGCAACGUUGAAAAGAAUUUCCCAAAAAUC